GUGCGAGCAGUCGCAAAGUGUCUGCCAUCAGAGGAAGGGUGGCGAUAUAUUUGUUCAUUGCACCAGUUAAUGUAUAUGUGUUUUUUUUAUUAGUUCGUGAUAUUAUAGCAAAGUAUUCAGAUUCUCUGAAUAUCGUCAUUUAAAAAAUCGACGAACUCUCACGAGUGAAUAUACUAAAGAGGACAAAGCCCAUAUACGAAGAUGUGUGGCGGCUUUACGUGCUCCAAAAACGCAUUGACGGCCUUAAACAUCCUUUAUAUUGUUGUUGCGUUUAUUUUGAUCGGGGUAGCUGUUUAUGGAAGAGCUUCGGCUUUAGUUACAAACCUUCCAAUCAUUGGAGGAAUUUUAGCAUGUGGUGUAAUACUAAUUCUUAUUUCUAUACUUGGCCUCAUCGGUGCUGUCAAACACCAUCAAGUUCUACUGUUCUUUUAUAUGCUUAUUCUGUUCCUUCUGUUUUUGAUUCAAUUUAGCAUUGCUUGUGCUUGUCUUGCUGUUAAUACCAAACAACAAGAACAAUUAGCAGAACAGGGUUGGAGACGUGUUGGACAAGAUUUAAAAGAAAAGGUUGAGACUACUUUCAAUUGUUGUGGAUUUAAUGAUACUGUCAGCGCAGUCUUAGAUGAUAAAGAGCUAGUAUCUUGCAAAAAUAAACUUUGCUGUCAAUAUCCUACUGAUACUGAUUGUGAAUGUCCGUCAUGUAUGCAGAAACUACAAUCUACAAUUGAUUAUGCUUUUAAAUUGUGUGGCAGUAUAGGAUUAUUCUUCAGCUUCACAGAGUUCGUUGGUGUUUGGUUGACCGUGCGGUACAGGAAUCAGAAAGAUCCACGAGCUAAUCCUAGUGCUUUCCUCUAGUCUAACACCAUCGCUAUAUCCUCUGUCACCUCAUAUGAUCCUUCUAAUAGAUGGUGAUUGCAGCUUUCUUGGCAAGACGUUACAGAAAUCAAUUAAAUCCACAUCAAAGAGCUGUUUUUUCUUAGCAUAAAUAUUUUUAUUGAGAUAAUUCGUACAUUUUACACCAAAAAUUUUUAUUUCUACAGAAAUGCUAAUAACUAGGAAUAUUGAUGAAUGUCUCGACUUGAAUUAUUUUGGUUCAUGCUUAGAAACGUUUGAUUAGUUAGGAACCAAAGAAUUAAUUUUUAUUUCACAGUACAAACAUCAUUGCAUAUAAUACAAUUCUCAAGGAACUGUUUGUCUUUCACUGCAGUUUACAAUGCUCAACAGGAAAAAGAUACAAUGCAUUUGAAAAGUGGACAGUCAUAGGUUUUAGAACGCAUUAGACAAACGAUAGUUAAAAUGUGUGCUCUAGUCAUCCAUUUAGAACAAUUGUACUAAGCCUCAAUGCGCCUUGUAGUUUAAUACUUAGAUACAUUUGCGCAAGCGCGUUUUUACAAAAUUUAGUUUUUUUAUUCGCCGAAAUUUUGUUUGAAUAUGACCCAUUAUUCUUCACUAGCAAAAUUAUUUUUUGCUAAAACAUUAUUUCUAAACAGUGGUUAUAAGUGUUUAGAAAAUAUGAGAUCAUUCAUUAAUUAAAUUUCUCUUCAAUAACAAUUUUUCUAUAUUUUAAAUUUUAACAAUAUUUAACCUGAAUGUAUUAGUACUUUUUGAAAAUGCUUCAAUAUAAAGUACAUAUUGUACAUGUAUUUUUAAAACAGAAUUCCUUCUAUUAAACUUCAAUCAAACAAAUCUUCAUCAAAUUAUUUUUAAACGAAUUGUUUUAAUCAAAAAGAAUAACUUCAUGAAGAAUUAUAAAAGAUUAACAGUAUUUCGCUAUUGAAUCAAAUAUAUUAAUGCAGAAAAAAAGAUUCAGAUAUGGCGUGAUAAUUAAGACAAGAAUCUUUCAUCUUGAGAUAUUAUCAUAAUACUGCCAUAUAUAUUAUAAUGACAUUAUAAUCACCAUGUUACCAAUUUUGAAUUUAUUAUUUGCUUCCUGUAAUUUGUAUCAUUUGCUUCCUGCAACUUAUAUUACGUUUUGUAGUAUGGGUUUCGUAGAUUGUAUAUUUAAAUUUAAUGUAAAGUACGUUAAAAUAUAAUUCUAUAGAAUCGUUUAAAUUAUUCAGUAAUGUUUUAGAACAACAUAUAUUAAUUUAAUAUUUUAAUGGUUAUACUUCCAAAACAUAUAAAGUGCUCGUUAUUUUCAAUUAGUUUAAAUUUUAAGUACAAAAAGGGCAUAAUAAUACUUCAUGCUUGGAAUACGUAUUACAAAUAUAUCAUAAAAUAAGAAUUUGAAUUUAGUGCACUGAAAUUGCACGGCUCGUUAUAUUUGUUUCAGAUGUAUUCUUUUUCGUUUUCAUCUCAAUAUUACUUCUUUUUUUUUAUUUAAAACUUUCAUUAUAUUUGAUAUCAAUUCAAUAAUAAUAUAUAAUCACUAUCUUUACAUUUAUAAUUUCUCUUUUAUUUUAUUCCAUAUCUAGUUUAACCCCUUUAAUGCAGACUUUCAAAAGCUAUGAAAAAAUAUGACAUCAUUUCUGAUAUACCAAACAAUAGUUGGUGCAUAUGAAAUGUUCUUCUGAAUUUUGAAUUUCUUAAGAUAAUUUAUUGAUCAAUUCUAUAAAUCAUAUGUGUGCAUUAACUCCCAAAAUUUUGUAUUAAUUACCUAAAAAUGUUUUUUUGAAACUAUGGACAAUAUAUGAUUUUCGAGCUAUUUCUUUUAAUGAUUAUGAUUUUAGUAACAGUACAAUGAAAACCACUAAAGCAAUUAAUUUAUUAUUGUAAAAAGAAAUGAUAUUUUAUAUGCACCCAUUUAAUAUCUGAAAUUUGCAAAUAAAAUUAUGAAUCAAAAACCAAUGUUGCUUAUGAAAGUUUGAUGAAUAUGACAUAAACAUAUACGAUAUUGUAUUCAUACAAAUAAUUAGAGAUACCAUCAUGCAAUAUAAUACACAAUAAGGGGUUAAUAAAGAUACAUUACUCAAACAUUCCAAUCUUCAUAUAUUUUUAGCUUUAUCAAAAAAUAGGUAUUAUAAACACUUGGUAAAAAUCAUAUCUAUAACUCACGGCAUCUUUGUGCAUAUUAUGCAACACAUUGAGAAAAAUAUAAUAUGUUAUGUACUGUAAGCCAAGAAAGUAAUAAUAAAUUGAAUAACAUAAUUUCAAAAUUAGAGAAAGGAUUUAAAGGAUUAUAAUCUGUAACUAGAGUAUGUCACUGUCUUUAUUUUUAUCCAAUUGGAGCUAUAAAUAUAUCAAGAAUAACAUUGAUUACAGUGAUAAAAAUGAUAUAUAAAUUAAGAUAAAUAUUGCAAAUGUAAUAAAUGCGUGUUUUACUACAUAACAUAUUAAUACAUUCCUAUAUGUAUAUAAGCAUAAUCAAUGAAUAUCUACAUAUUAUUAAACAGAUAUAUUUCAAACGGUUAAGCAAUAGUCAAAAGUAUUUCUUUUAAAAUAGAUUAAAUUUACACCUAAUAUAGUGUAAAUGCAUUAAUUAAAUAAUUCAUUGAAAAUUAUUGAUAGUUUCUGUAUAGUAAUCACUUUAUGUUCCAAUUUUGAAUGUAAGAACCAGUAAUGCUUUUAAAUCGCCUGGAUCAUUCCAUUUAACUAUUUUAAAAUUUGAAAUAUUUAUGAAUAUUUGUUGCAUUGUUUUACAUCAAUAUAUUACAUGUUAUUUUGUAUCAAUAACGUUAUAAUUAUGAAUAUAUUAUUAUUCUAUGGUUCUGUAA
Molecule: unclassified non-coding RNA, 3650 nt
Filed under: Megachile rotundata (alfalfa leafcutting bee)
Lineage: Eukaryota; Metazoa; Arthropoda; Insecta; Hymenoptera; Megachilidae
Description: tetraspanin-31-B, transcript variant X3
Source: RNAcentral